RNAcentral lists this long non-coding RNA (1557 nucleotides) under Megachile rotundata (alfalfa leafcutting bee). RNAcentral's name for it is "uncharacterized LOC105663373". Lineage: Eukaryota; Metazoa; Arthropoda; Insecta; Hymenoptera; Megachilidae. The record is from RNAcentral.
UUUAAAUUGAAGAAUGGAUGAUCAGUGCAAGAAUUACGACGAUAAUGACGUAUAUUCCACAUAAAAGGCACUCGAUAAAUCAAUUCCUUAAUUAUUUAUAGACCCAUGCAAGAAUGAAUAUUUCCUUUGAUACUAUGAUGUUUCUGAAUUAGGUCUAUAUGUAUAUUCAGCUAAUAGGAGAACUCUGAGUCACUCGUUUAUGCUGAAAAUAGUGCAUACAAAUGUUCUUGAUGAAUGUACAAUCUAUACACCUUCAUCUGGGAUACGCGAGUUAUAAUUAUAAUCAAUUUGAAACAGAUACAAAAUUUCAAUCUCAUGCUUAAUUAAAAAAAAAUUAGAUAAUUUGUUAGUACCUACUUAUAUUUGCUUCAAAGGUUUAUGAAAGUUAUAAAUAAUUACAUUUUUAUAAAGAAUAAAAGUAGCAAGAAUUUAGUGUCAUUUCACGAAUUUAAAGAAUUUGUGGGAAUGAAUCAAAGUCUAACUGUCAAAACACGGCUAGGUGGAUACAUUUCGAUCCAUCAUUUAUGAUCAUAAACGUAUAUUUUCAUACGCAUCGUGCCAAUGAUAAAAAUCUAAAUUAUGGCCGACAUACGAAGUCAGUUUCAAUGUUGAAAGUCUCAAUUUACGAUUGCGAAAGUGGUUCGAUUUUUUAGUCGAUCACAGUUUUGAAGCAUUAAUAUUUUUUAUUCAACCCCCAUUUUCCUUCAAACAUAUGCAGAUAAGUGAAUCUAUAAAAAUUAUUAUUCUGUUCAUUGAAUUUUUGAACACUUGAACUUAAGGUGUUUGAGACUUUAGAAUAUUAAAAUGUAUGAAUUGGAGGACUUUAAGACUUUUAGGAGUUUUUGCAUUUUAAGACUAAAAUUUUGGAAUUGUGGGAUUUUUAAAUAUAACGCAUAAUAAGCGAUUUGGUCACAAGAAUGACCGUUUUUAAAAGUAGGUAUCGGUCCAUAAAAGUUUGAGAAGUCCUGGGUGUAUACGAAUAAGCUGCUUUCUAUAAUUGGGAGUGCACGGGGCGACGACGUAGCUCGAGCCACCACCGAUCCCCUCCACAUUUUCGCUAGAGCCACGGUUGAACCAUCGGACCAAAUCGCAGAUUCGCAUUGCUGAGUAUCAACCCCGAAACGGCACGUCUAUAUUGCAAAGAAGCUUCCACAUGGAAUUCCGUAUACAUGUACGUGGUAGUGGAUUUUACGAAAAGUUCGCAAGUGCAGCAGGAUGACAAGAUAUGGAACAAUCACAGCUAUUGAAAUUUGAGGGAAUCAAACAAAUCAAACACUCAAGAUCUGGACUACACUAAAGGAACAAGCCAACAGUAUACAGGGAUCUGUUCCUGAAUGAGGGUGCAUCUAUACUUGCUAAAUUCGAAGGAGCCAAAUUGGAUAUUCCCGGUAAUUUUGGUAGAAGGAAUGACUUAUCCCCACGUAUGAUUCAACUCCCAUGCAUGGUAGAUGAUGCAUACUACCCCCUUCAAAAUAUGUAUAUGUCAUGUAUAUACAAAGUACGAGUGCCAUUAGAGUGAUUUUUAUACAAGAAUUUAAUAAAAUGUAUCCUACAAAU